Molecule: ribosomal RNA, 254 nt
Filed under: uncultured bacterium
Lineage: Bacteria
Description: partial 16S ribosomal RNA
Rfam family: Bacterial small subunit ribosomal RNA
Source: RNAcentral
CGGAGGGGCUAGCGUUGUUCGGAAUUACUGGGCGUAAAGCGCACGUAGGCGGCUUUGUAAGUUAGAGGUGAAAGCCUGGAGCUCAACUCCAGAACUGCCUUUAAGACUGCAUCGCUUGAAUCCAGGAGAGGUGAGUGGAAUUCCGAGUGUAGAGGUGAAAUUCGUAGAUAUUCGGAAGAACACCAGUGGCGAAGGCGGCUCACUGGACUGGUAUUGACGCUGAGGUGCGAAAGCGUGGGGGAGCAAACAGGAUU